CCUACGGGAGGCAGCAGUGAGGAAUCUUGGUCAAUGGGCGAGAGCCUGAACCCGCCACGCCGCGUGAAGGAUGAAGGAUCUAUGGUUUGUAAACUUCUUUUAUAUGGGAAUAAAGUGAGGAACGUGUUCCUUUUUGUAUGUACCAUAUGAAUACGCAUCGGCUAACUCCGUGCCAGCAGCCGCGGGAAUACGGGGGCUGCGAGCGUUAUCCGGAUUUAUUGGGUUUAAAGGGUGCGUAGGUGGUUAAUUAAGUCAGAGGUGAAAGGUUGUGGCUCAACCAUCAAAUUGACGUGGAAACUGGAUGACUUGAGUAUAGGUGAGGUAGGCGGAAUGCGUGGUGUAGCGGUGAAAUGCAUAGAUAUCACGCAGAACACCGAGUGCGAAGGCAGCUUACUAGACUAUAACUGACACUGAAGCACGAAAGCGUGGGGAUCAAACAGGAUUAGAUACCCUAGUAGUC
Molecule: ribosomal RNA, 460 nt
Filed under: uncultured bacterium
Lineage: Bacteria
Description: partial 16S ribosomal RNA
Rfam family: Bacterial small subunit ribosomal RNA
Source: RNAcentral